This is a non-coding RNA of Jatropha curcas, 245 nucleotides long. The record is from RefSeq and is a predicted model, not a curated record. NCBI's taxonomy places the organism in Eukaryota, Viridiplantae, Streptophyta, Magnoliopsida, Malpighiales, Euphorbiaceae.
UAAUUCUGGUUGAGUCAAGCCUGGAGAUUGUUGGAAGAAUUGUGUCGAGAAAGCCCAAGGAUGUGUGGGCAGUUCGUCUCAGCAUUGGAACCUAUCUUAUAGAUGGCAAAUACUUCAAGCCCUUGGAGCUUCAAGAAUGAAACUUGUACUGUUUUCAAUUCAAAGCUUAACGUCAAUGAAAGUAUGCAAAUUUCAAUUCAAUUUGAAAAAUUGAAUAAAAUCAAAACUGUUUUUAAUGGGUUUAA